RNAcentral lists this ribosomal RNA (497 nucleotides) under uncultured bacterium. Its description in RNAcentral is "partial 16S ribosomal RNA". It matches the Rfam family "Bacterial small subunit ribosomal RNA", at positions 28 to 507 of the family's 1533-position model. The record is from RNAcentral.
GAUGAACGCUGGCGGCGUGCCUAAUACAUGCCAGUCGAGCGAACAGACGAGGAGCUUGCUCCUCUGACGUUAGCGGCGGACGGGUGAGUAACACGUGGAUAACCUACCUAUAAGACUGGGAUAACUUCGGGAAACCGGAGCUAAUACCGGAUAACAUGUUGAACCGCAUGGUUCAACAGUGAAAGACGGUCUUGCUGUCACUUAUAGAUGGAUCCGCGCCGCAUUAGCUAGUUGGUAAGGUAACGGCUUACCAAGGCAACGAUGCGUAGCCGACCUGAGAGGGUGAUCGGCCACACUGGAACUGAGACACGGUCCAGACUCCUACGGGAGGCAGCAGUAGGGAAUCUUCCGCAAUGGGCGAAAGCCUGACGGAGCAACGCCGCGUGAGUGAUGAAGGUCUUCGGAUCGUAAAACUCUGUUAUUAGGGAAGAACAAAUGUGUAAGUAACUAUGCACGUCUUGACGGUACCUAAUCAGAAAGCCACGGCUAACUACGUG